Molecule: ribosomal RNA, 896 nt
Filed under: Fusarium aywerte
Lineage: Eukaryota; Fungi; Ascomycota; Sordariomycetes; Hypocreales; Nectriaceae
Description: LSU rRNA
Rfam family: Eukaryotic large subunit ribosomal RNA
Source: RNAcentral
GCAUAUCAAUAAGCGGAGGAAAAGAAACCAACAGGGAUUGCCCUAGUAACGGCGAGUGAAGCGGCAACAGCUCAAAUUUGAAAUCUGGCUCUCACGGGCCCGAGUUGUAAUUUGUAGAGGAUGCUUUUGAUGCGGUGCCUUCCGAGUUCCCUGGAACGGGACGCCAUAGAGGGUGAGAGCCCCGUCUGGUUGGAUGCCAAAUCUCUGUAAAGCUCCUUCGACGAGUCGAGUAGUUUGGGAAUGCUGCUCUAAAUGGGAGGUAUAUGUCUUCUAAAGCUAAAUACUGGCCAGAGACCGAUAGCGCACAAGUAGAGUGAUCGAAAGAUGAAAAGCACUUUGAAAAGAGAGUUAAAAAGUACGUGAAAUUGUUGAAAGGGAAGCGUUUAUGACCAGACUUGGGCUUGGUUAAUCAUCUGGGGUUCUCCCCAGUGCACUUUUCCAGUCCAGGCCAGCAUCAGUUUUCGCCGGGGGAUAAAGGCUUCGGGAAUGUGGCUCCCUCCGGGGAGUGUUAUAGCCCGUUGCGUAAUACCCUGGCGGGGACUGAGGUUCGCGCUUCUGCAAGGAUGCUGGCGUAAUGGUCAUCAACGACCCGUCUUGAAACACGGACCAAGGAGUCGUCUUCGUAUGCGAGUGUUCGGGUGUCAAACCCCUACGCGUAAUGAAAGUGAACGCAGGUGAGAGCUUCGGCGCAUCAUCGACCGAUCCUGAUGUUCUCGGAUGGAUUUGAGUAAGAGCAUACGGGGCCGGACCCGAAAGAAGGUGAACUAUGCCUGUGUAGGGUGAAGCCAGAGGAAACUCUGGUGGAGGCUCGCAGCGGUUCUGACGUGCAAAUCGAUCGUCAAACAUGGGCAUGGGGGCGAAAGACUAAUCGAACYUUCUAGUAGCUGGUUUCCGCG